RNAcentral lists this ribosomal RNA (414 nucleotides) under uncultured bacterium. RNAcentral's name for it is "bacterial SSU rRNA". It matches the Rfam family "Bacterial small subunit ribosomal RNA", at positions 28 to 425 of the family's 1533-position model. The record is from RNAcentral.
GAUGAACGCUGGCGGCGUGCUUAACACAUGCAAGUCGAACGGGGGACAAUUUAAAGAAGCUUCGGCAGAUUUAGCUUGUUCCUAGUGGCGGACGGGUGAGUAACGCGUGGGUAACCUGCCUCACACUGGGGGAUAACGGUCAGAAAUGACUGCUAAUWCCGCAUAAGCGCACAGAGCUGCAUGGCUCAGUGUGAAAAACUCCGGUGGUGUGAGAUGGACCCGCGUUGGAUUAGCCAGUUGGCAGGGUAACGGCCUACCAAAGCGACGAUCCAUAGCCGGCCUGAGAGGGUGGACGGCCACAUUKGGWCUGAGACACGGCCCAGACUCCUACGGGAGGCAGCAGUGGGGAAUAUUGCACAAUGGGGGAAACCCUGAUGCAGCGACGCCGCGUGAAGGAAGAAGUAUCUCGGUAUG